GUGAGUGCAAGCGAUACACCAAUCUGCGCCUGUCGGAAAGUGACAACCUGGUGAGGUGUGACUAUUGUGACCACGUCCCAAAUGCACACGGAAAAAUAUGUGAUCUCGAAACGAAAAAUGCAGCCGAGGCAAAGGUGCAAUGCAAUGUGCCAGGCACCGUUGUUCGAGGCCUCAGUGUCACAUGAAACUGUGGAAGCUUGCACAUCUAGUCUCCUCAGUGCAAUAUGAGAGGACUGUCCCAGUUGGUGCCUCCAUAGAAAAUGAAUCGGCCUGAAUGCCUGUGCAAGAAUCACAACCUGGCUGCUCUAAAGACUCCGCACCGUAGUCCCAUGUGCAAGAGCCCCCACUUGACAGCCCAGUGGUUGCCAUGGACAAAGAGAUCCGCGAUACUGAAUGCGGCCAAGCAGUACAAGUUUUUACAUGGACAGUUAACACGAAGUUAUUGACGACAUGCAUGGCUGAAACACGGUGAUAUGAUUUUAAAAAUUCCUGUGUUAUGAUGCAAGUGAUAGUAUUCUGUUGAAUUUUCAGAUCUAGUCAUGUGCCAGCAAGGCCUGCUGUACUUCUGGUGUAUUCUAUGUUGUAUUUUCAAAUAAAGAUGUUGCAUUCUGAAGUUAACCUUA
Dermacentor albipictus is the source of this 623-nucleotide non-coding RNA. Lineage: Eukaryota; Metazoa; Arthropoda; Arachnida; Ixodida; Ixodidae. The record is from RefSeq and is a predicted model, not a curated record.